AUUGAACGCUGGCGGCAGGCCUAACACAUGCAAGUCGAACGGUAACAGGAAGCAGCUUGCUGCUUUGCUGACGAGUGGCGGACGGGUGAGUAAUGUCUGGGAAACUGCCUGAUGGAGGGGGAUAACUACUGGAAACGGUAGCUAAUACCGCAUAACGUCGCAAGACCAAAGAGGGGGACCUUCGGGCCUCUUGCCAUCGGAUGUGCCCAGAUGGGAUUAGCUAGUAGGUGGGGUAACGGCUCACCUAGGCGACGAUCCCUAGCUGGUCUGAGAGGAUGACCAGCCACACUGGAACUGAGACACGGUCCAGACUCCUACGGGAGGCAGCAGUGGGGAAUAUUGCACAAAGGGCGCAAGCCUGAUGCAGCCAUGCCGCGUGUAUGAAGAAGGCCUUCGGGUUGUAAAGUACUUUCAGCGGGGAGGAAGGGAGUAAAGUUAAUACCGUUGCUCAUUGACGUUACCCGCAGAAGAAGCACCGGCUAACUCCGUG
Molecule: ribosomal RNA, 490 nt
Filed under: uncultured bacterium
Lineage: Bacteria
Description: partial 16S ribosomal RNA
Rfam family: Bacterial small subunit ribosomal RNA
Source: RNAcentral